GGCUGCUCCGAGGGGUGUCCUGUAAUGGGCUGAGAUGGCGUAAGCCGAACCCUUUGAACCUGAUCUGGGUCAUGCCAGCGAAGGGACGGGUUGGCAUCGAUCA
This is a non-coding RNA of Triticum urartu, 103 nucleotides long. The record is from Rfam. NCBI's taxonomy places the organism in Eukaryota, Viridiplantae, Streptophyta, Magnoliopsida, Poales, Poaceae.